Molecule: ribosomal RNA, 468 nt
Filed under: uncultured bacterium
Lineage: Bacteria
Description: partial 16S ribosomal RNA
Rfam family: Bacterial small subunit ribosomal RNA
Source: RNAcentral
GACGAACGCUGGCGGCGUGCCUAACACAUGCAAGUCGAACGGAAAAGCCCUGCUUUUGCGGGGUGCUCGAGUGGCGAACGGGUGAGUAACACGUGAGUAACCUGCCCUUGACUUUGGGAUAACUUCAGGAAACUGGGGCUAAUACCGGAUAGGAGCUCCUGCUGCAUGGUGGGGGUUGGAAAGCUUCGGCGGUUGGGGAUCGACUCGCGGCUUAUCAGCUUGUUGGUGGGGUAGUGGCUUACCAAGGCUUUGACGGAUAGCCGGCCUGAGAGGGUGACCGGCCACAUUGGGACUGAGGGACGGCGCAGACUCCUACGGGAGGCAGCAGUGGAGAGUAUUGCACAGUGGGCGGAAGCCUGAUGCAGCAGCGCCGCGUGCGGGAUGACGGCCUUCGGGUUGUAAACCGCUUUCGCCUGUGACGAAGCGUGAGUGACGGUAAUGGGUAAAGAAGCACCGGCUAACUACGUG